AUCAUACGAAAUAUCAAUUGAUAUGGUGAAUAGAUGUGUUUUGUUCGGCUGUAGUGCCACGGCCGAUGCAUCGAGUGCUCUUUCGAAGCAUUCAUUCCCGAAAAAAACAGCAAUUCGACGUCAGUGGGUGAAGUUUGUACAAACAACGAGAGUGGACUUCGUGGAUCCGAAACCGACCAACACUUCGGCCGUAGUGUGUUCAAAACACUUCACUGACGAUUGUUUUGAAGUAGCAUGAUUAUUGUUUGCCCAGAACGAAAGUGGUUUUCAGAAGAAGCUAGUUAGCUGGACUCCACUUCAAUGAGAACAGUGGCAGGGACCAAGCCAAACUCGAGAAUGGGGCAGAACAAUUCAACGUUUUAUUCCCCAAAUUCAAGAAGGGAGGCUUUUCAGUGAAACGUGUUCUGACCAAGUGCACAUUCAACUAUGUGACUGAACUUCAGAAAGAGGUGUGCAGAAUCAUCCGAGCUGGAGAAAUCUGUCAGAAUGAAGAACCCCCACCCCCACUUUCCAGCGCCUUCGAACAUCUGGAUAAGCAGGAAGCCAUCAACAGAUACCGGAGUGGAAAACGCUACGUGGAGCAUGUGGGGAAAUAACUUGUGUUGGACUUCUAGAUUCCAGUGUAAACUGUAUGUGGUGGGAGCAUAUUUGGUUUGACGAUCAUCAAGUUGAAGCUAUCACAAAUUGCAUGCCCGGCCUUGGGCAUAGUCAUCAUUGAUUUUGUACAGGUCCUGUUUAACAAACAUAACAUCACCAGUAUUGGCAUUUUAUAUGAGCAAUGUAUUUAAAAUUUGAAACUUUAAAAUUUUGUACAGAUUAACAAAUACAUGCAA
Lineus longissimus is the source of this 833-nucleotide long non-coding RNA. RefSeq lists it as uncharacterized. NCBI's taxonomy places the organism in Eukaryota, Metazoa, Nemertea, Pilidiophora, Heteronemertea, Lineidae. The transcript has 3 exons. The record is from RefSeq and is a predicted model, not a curated record.